RNA transcript from Sarcophilus harrisii (Tasmanian devil), 3281 nucleotides. It is a transcript of the gene named ly-6/neurotoxin-like protein 1, with no coding region annotated. The record is from RefSeq and is a predicted model, not a curated record. Lineage: Eukaryota; Metazoa; Chordata; Mammalia; Dasyuromorphia; Dasyuridae. The transcript has 5 exons.
GCACCCCUCUCGGAUCACUUGCGCCGCAGCCGCCGCUGCGGCUGCAGCUGCGGACUUGGACCUCGAUGGACCCCGACGGACCUGGACAGACUCGGAAGGACCCGGAUGGAGCCGGAUGGACCUGGACGCUGAAGAAUCCUGCCUGCAGCUUCCUGCUUCAAUUUAGCAGCCCUUCCCCCAGCUUUCAACCAUGAAGUUCUUUCCAGUCCUGCUUCUCAUGACUAUCAUGGCCCAGCCACUGACAAUCCUAUUCUAGGAAGGAAUAUCUGGGACCAUAGCAGAAACGAAGGGUCUGAUAUGCCAGAGGUGGGGAGGAAGGGCCCAUGCCCUGGAAUGCUAUGUUUGUGAACACAAAGGGUACAACUGCUUCAAGACCAUGAGGUGCCCCGAUUAUGUCAACUACUGUAUGACCACCCGGACCUAUAUCACUCCAACCAGGGUAACAGUCAGCAAGUCCUGUGUCCCCACCUGCUUUGAGACCCUGUACGAUGGCUACACCAAGAAUGCUGCCACCACGUCCUGCUGCCAGUAUGACUACUGCAAUGGGGCUAGCCUUGGGGCCCAGGCCUCCUCAGCUCUGGCCCUCACCACAAUCCUCAGCACGCUCUGGGGGCUGCUGCCCCCCAGCCUCUGACCCAGGCUAACUGGACCCCUUCCCUUUUCCCAGAAGCCCCAGAUCAACUUGGCUCUGUGAGAGAUGAGGAGAACAUGGCGACUUCAUAACUGUCCCUGGCCCCUGCCCCACACAUCGAGCCCCUUCCAUGACCUCUUCCCAGGACCAUCUCUUCUGUCCCUAACCCCCAGCACUCAUGGGAUGUCAGAACCUCCCCAGGUGCUUUCAAAUCCAGAUCUUCCCACUUCUGUAAAGGGCCUGGGAGUCAAUCCUUCCCAUCCCUCCAGGGGAUGGGAGUGGUCCUUCUUUCUAGCUAAUCCAUAGGCUUCUUCUCUGCCUGUCUUUGGAGUCGGGGGAAUCUGUUGGAGCCCAAAGUUGGGAGGCAGAAGGAGAAGAGGCUCCUGGAUUCUUGGAUUUCCCUGUACCCUUCUUCAUGGACUAGUUUUAUUUUUACGCUGACCAUCUUGGAACUCUUCAUACUUCUGCUCCUUGACCCCAUCCACUUUUCAAAAUGUCUGACUUUGAACUUGAUUGACUAAUGUGGGACCUGACACCUGAAAUGUUUAUGGAUCUGCCAUCCACACCGGACUCCUUCUGCAGGGAUGAGUGUUGGGGGAAGACCAAUCUAGGGUGGGGUAUGGAGGGGGGGGAGGCACAAACACAGGGGUUGGACAAGUACGGUUUUUUGUUACCUGUUGAGUUCUGAUGGGGGUUUGGGGGUGGGGGGUGGAAGUAAUAGAGUGCUGCUGCUGGGGAGGGAGUGGGAGAUAUGGAGAACCUGUCAAAGGGGGAGAAUGCCCCCAUCCCCAGGAAGCCCCUGGUCUGAGAUGGAUUGUCAUAGUUAACCCCUUAUUUCAGUUGGCUCUUCCAGAGGAAUGGGAAGAGGUUGGGUCCACAUGAAGGUAAGGCCCUCCCAAAGACUGACGCAUACCACGGAAGGUUGAGAUGGAGGGUAGCUUUUCCUGAGCUGCCCCAGGAAGGUCCUCACAGACAGAUUUGCCGAACGUGAGAGCUGGAAGAUCCCUUAGAGACCAUCUAGUCCAAUCCUCUCAUUUUACAGAUAAGGAAGUUGAGGCACAGGGAGGAGAGGUGACUUGCUAAUGGUCACAAAGUAAGGUUGUGUGUAACACUGGGUCCCCAUGGGUUCCCACACAACUCUGGAUCCUCUUGUUACAUCUGUGGUCCCCUGUGCUAUUUUGAGUCACUUAUCCCCAAACCUCAAGCUUGAGCCCCCGCCAUUACAUUUCUAUGCCACACCAAAGAAAAUAUACAUGACCAUUCAAAUAUACAAACACACACACACACACUUCAUUACAGCAGAAUAGGAAGGUAAAUAACAGGGUAGAAAUGUUGUCUGUACUCAUGCACAAAAAGAUUGCCAUAUUCUGUGCUUUUAACCCCCCUUUCCUCCUCCCCCCAGCUAACCCACUUUCACUUCAAACCCAAGGAACCCCAGUGAACCUUUGGGUUUGAAGUCAUCCGCCUCUUGGGUUUCUUUCCUUCCAGUCCUCAGUGGGGCGAGAUAAGUAGAAUGAAUGUCUAAGGGCUGAACGAAAGCUGGUCUCCCACCACAACUCUGGAAUCGUCCGUCCCACAGUGGUCCGGCCAGGCUAUGUAGCCGCCUGUGUUCCCCACAGCUCUCACAGCCCCACUGUUUGCUUUUCCCAUCUGCUCAUUUCUGUAGCUCCUGAACUGCUAUGCUUCAGUACCUUCUGAUCUCUCAUCAUAUAGUAGCUACCUCCCUUUUCCAAGUCUGUGCCCCUACUCCCUAACCUCCGCCCCUCCACAUCUGUUCUGCCCUUCCAAGUCUGCACUGCCAGCUCCCUCCAUGUGGCUGCUUUCCCUUCCUAUUUUAAGUCUACCUGACACAGUUCCUCUUCAUCCAGAUUUUGCAACCAACUGCCCAUCUACAACGGUUGGAGAAAGGGGAUCCUACUUCCCCGAUUCUCCAAAAUUUCUGUCCUCCUGGUUGCCAGGGAGUUCAACAGUCUCCCCUGUGGGCAGCAGGCGGUUUUAGUGUGUUGCCUUAGCAGAGUCCCAAUGCCAACCCACAGCUUCUUCUGGUGCUUCUUGUGUGCCUCUGUGCAGGAACGCUCUUGUUCCCCUGGCCUGCAUCUGCCUGUUUCUGUAGCUGUGAUCUUCACAGUCCUGUGGCCAGCCCACCUGACAGCUCUCUGGCUUGCCAUGCUGCUGCCCCUCUCCCACAUAGCUGCUCCCACCUGGAAGCUCCUGUUCACCGCUCUCUGCCGCAUUUGCCUCUGUAAUGGGCUGGCCUAACUCCUGUGGGUGCAAGCCCACUUCUGCUGCUGUGGUUCCCGUCGGACAUCAGUCUGGCGGCCCAUAGUUUCCUGAUAAACCUGUGCUGAAUUCCUUCCUUCCGUGCACCCAGUAAGCAUGAGUCAAUGUUGGCCGAUGGAAAGGGAGAUGGAGGAAUACAGCCCAGAAGUGAAGGGGUGGGGGGGAGGGCCUCUUCAGAGGCCUUCCUUCUGGGCUGUUGCCAGGAUGGCUUGCCUUGACCUGUGGUCCUGAACCUCUUACAUCUACGAGAGAAGUGUUACCGAUCCACCACCUUCCACACUUUCUCUUUCUGAUGUUUAAGGGGACAGGGCCCAGGAAAGGCUUGGAGGGCUGAGGUUAGGAUCUUUGGGGUCUAAAAAAAAAAAAAAAA